Molecule: ribosomal RNA, 253 nt
Filed under: uncultured bacterium
Lineage: Bacteria
Description: partial 16S ribosomal RNA
Rfam family: Bacterial small subunit ribosomal RNA
Source: RNAcentral
UACGAAGGGUGCAAGCGUUAAUCGGAAUUACUGGGCGUAAAGCGCGCGUAGGUGGUUCAGUAAGUUGGAAGUGAAAUCCCCGGGCUCAACCUGGGAACUGCUUUCAAAACUGCUGAGCUAGAGUACGGUAGAGGGUGAUGGAAUUUCCUGUGUAGCGGUGAAAUGCGUAGAUAUAGGAAGGAACACCAGUGGCGAAGGCGACCACCUGGACUGAUACUGACACUGAGGUGCGAAAGCGUGGGGAGCAAACAGG